GUCGAGCGGACAGAAGGGAGCUUGCUCCCGGAUGUUAGCGGCGGACGGGUGAGUAACACGUGGGUAACCUGCCUGUAAGACUGGGAUAACUCCGGGAAACCGGAGCUAAUACCGGAUAGUUCCUUGAACCGCAUGGUUCAAGGAUGAAAGACGGUUUCGGCUGUCACUUACAGAUGGACCCGCGGCGCAUUAGCUAGUUGGUGGGGUAAUGGCUCACCAAGGCGACGAUGCGUAGCCGACCUGAGAGGGUGAUCGGCCACACUGGGACUGAGACACGGCCCAGACUCCUACGGGAGGCAGCAGUAGGGAAUCUUCCGCAAUGGACGAAAGUCUGACGGAGCAACGCCGCGUGAGUGAUGAAGGUUUUCGGAUCGUAAAGCUCUGUUGUUAGGGAAGAACAAGUGCGAGAGUAACUGCUCGCACCUUGACGGUACCUAACCAGAAAGCCACGGCUAACUACGUGCCAGCAGCCGCGGUAAUACGUAGGUGGCAAGCGUUGUCCGGAAUUAUUGGGCGUAAAGGGCUCGCAGGCGGUUUCUUAAGUCUGAUGUGAAAGCCCCCGGCUCAACCGGGGAGGGUCAUUGGAAACUGGGAAACUUGAGUGCAGAAGAGGAGAGUGGAAUUCCACGUGUAGCGGUGAAAUGCGUAGAGAUGUGGAGGAACACCAGUGGCGAAGGCGACUCUCUGGUC
RNAcentral lists this ribosomal RNA (690 nucleotides) under Bacillus zhangzhouensis. Its description in RNAcentral is "bacterial SSU rRNA". It matches the Rfam family "Bacterial small subunit ribosomal RNA", at positions 61 to 734 of the family's 1533-position model. Lineage: Bacteria; Bacillati; Bacillota; Bacilli; Caryophanales; Bacillaceae. The record is from RNAcentral.